GAUAGAGGAUGCGAACGUUGCUCGGAUUUACUGGGCGUAAAGCGCGUGUAGGCGGUCUCGUUAGUCGGGUGUGAAAGCCCCGGGCUCAACCCGGGAAGUGCACCCGAUACUGCGAGACUGGGGUACUGAAGAGGAGAGCGGAAUUCCCGGUGUAGAGGUGAAAUUCGUAGAUAUCGGGAGGAACACCAGUGGCGAAGGCGGCUCUCUGGGCAGAUACCGACGCAGAGACGCGAAAGCGUGGGGAGCAAACAGG
Molecule: ribosomal RNA, 253 nt
Filed under: uncultured bacterium
Lineage: Bacteria
Description: partial 16S ribosomal RNA
Rfam family: Bacterial small subunit ribosomal RNA
Source: RNAcentral